UACGUAGGGGGCAAGCGUUGUCCGGAAUCAUUGGGCGUAAAGAGCGCGCAGGCGGUCGUUCAAGUCGCGUGUGAAAGCCCCCGGCUCAACUGGGGAGGGUCACGCGAUACUGAUCGACUCGAAGGCAGGAGAGGGAAGUGGAAUUCCCGGUGUAGUGGUGAAAUGCGUAGAUAUCGGGAGGAACACCAGUGGCGAAGGCGACUUCCUGGCCUGUUCUUGACGCUGAGGCGCGAAAGCUAGGGGAGCAAACGGGG
This 254-nucleotide ribosomal RNA is filed under the name uncultured bacterium. RNAcentral's name for it is "partial 16S ribosomal RNA". It matches the Rfam family "Bacterial small subunit ribosomal RNA", at positions 524 to 777 of the family's 1533-position model. The record is from RNAcentral.